UCCAGGCCCUACGGGGCGCAGCAGGCGCGAAACCUCUGCAAUGCGGGAAACCGUGACAGGGGGAUCCCAAGUGCUCAUGCAUUGCAUGGGCUGUUCUUUGGUCUAAGUAACCAGAGGAGUAAGGGCUGGGCAAGACCGGUGCCAGCCGCCGCGGUAAUACCGGCAGCUCGAGUGGUAGCCGCGAUUAUUGGGCCUAAAGCGUUCGUAGCCGGAUAAGUAAGUCUUUGGUUAAAUCCUGCGACUUAACCGUGGGAAAUCUAGAGAUACUGCUUGUCUUGAGACCGGGAGAGGUUGGAGGUACUCCUAGGGUAGGGGUGAAAUCCUGUAAUCCUAGGGGGACCACCUGUGGCGAAGGCGUCCAACUGGAACGGGUCUGACGGUGAGGGACGAAACCUAGGGGAGCGAGCCGGAUUAGAUACCCGGGUAGUCCUAGGCGUAAAUGAUGCGAGUUAAGUGUGGGGGCAUCUACGAGAUGGCCCUGUGCUGUAGGGUAGCCGUUAAACUCGCCGCCUGGGGAGUACGGUCGCAAGGCUGAAACUUAAAGGAAUUGGCGGGGGAGCACCACAAGAGGUGGAGGCUGCGGUUCAAUUGGAUUCAACGCCGGG
This 605-nucleotide ribosomal RNA is filed under the name uncultured euryarchaeote. RNAcentral describes it as "bacterial SSU rRNA". It matches the Rfam family "Archaeal small subunit ribosomal RNA", at positions 315 to 922 of the family's 1478-position model. The record is from RNAcentral. Lineage: Archaea; Methanobacteriati; Methanobacteriota.